RNAcentral lists this ribosomal RNA (460 nucleotides) under uncultured bacterium. RNAcentral's name for it is "partial 16S ribosomal RNA". It matches the Rfam family "Bacterial small subunit ribosomal RNA", at positions 338 to 795 of the family's 1533-position model. The record is from RNAcentral.
CCUACGGGAGGCAGCAGUGAGGAAUAUUGGUCAAUGGACGCGAGCCUGAACCAGCCACGUAGCGUGAAGGAUGACUGCCCUAUGGUUUGUAACCUUCUUUUAUACAGGCAUAAAACGCGGCGCGUGUGCCUUUUUGCAUGAACUUUAUGAAUAAGGCUCGGCGAACUCCGUGCCAGCAGCCGCGGUAAUACCGAGGAUCCGAGCGUUAUACGGAUUUAUUGGGUUUAAAGGGAGCGUAGUCGGGUGCUUAAGUCAGUUGUGAAAGUUGGCGGCUCAACCGUAAGAUUGCAAUUGAUACUGGCAGUCUUGAGGACAGUAGAGGUAGGCGGAAUUCGUAGUGUAGCGGUGAAAUGCGUAGAUAUCACGAAGAACCCCGAUUGCGAAGGCAGCUUGCUAAACUGUAACUGACGCUGAUGCGCGAAAGUGUGGGGAGCAAACAGGAUUAGAUACCCCAGUAGUC